AUGUAAGGUGUGUACUUGCUGUAAAUACGGACGUAAAAGUGUUACGUAGGCUUUAGGUGGGCAUGCGAGGAGUAUUUGGAUGCCCAUAAAGAAACCUGCGGAUAUGG
This 107-nucleotide small nucleolar RNA is filed under the name Erythranthe guttata (spotted monkey flower). The record is from RNAcentral. Lineage: Eukaryota; Viridiplantae; Streptophyta; Magnoliopsida; Lamiales; Phrymaceae.